CUGCAUCGAAAUAAGACACCGGCCCUUCUUCUCAAGCUUGAUAUUGCUAGAGCUUUUGAUAGUGUAUCUUGGGAGUACAUGAUGGAGCUUCUUCAGCAGCUAGGUUUCUUCCCUCGCUAGAUAGACUGGAUUGCGCUCCUCCUGUCCACUUACUCCUCGGCAUGUCUGCUCAAUGGAGAUCCUAGAAAGAGUUUUAUGCACCAGCGAGGCCGACAGGGAGAUACACUCUCACCGCUCCUCUUCAUCCUCUGCACUGAUCCCCUUCACCGCUUGCUCGAGGUUGCUUCCAGGUCGGGAGUGUUGAACACCAUCUUGGGCAGGGUGGUGCAGAUGCGCACAAGCCUGUAUGCCGACGAUGUCGUCAUCUUCAUCAACCCCGUGCGGUUCGAGAUAGAUAAUCUCUUAGAGCUUCUCCACCUGUUUGGCGACAACGAGCUUAUGCGUUAA
Molecule: ribosomal RNA, 447 nt
Filed under: Triticum aestivum (bread wheat)
Lineage: Eukaryota; Viridiplantae; Streptophyta; Magnoliopsida; Poales; Poaceae
Description: partial small subunit ribosomal RNA
Source: RNAcentral